CUCCGCAACGAGAGCCGCCAUCCCUUCGCGCCUGCCAUUUUGCCAGAGUUUUGUUUUCUGCAAGUCCGCGCACGCAGCUCAUCGGUAGAUGCGCGGAUGCACGGCGUCACAUUGCGACCUGCGGCAUUUUCUCGUGUUCGCGCAUUCGGUGUGAAACAUGUCGCAUGUGAAAUAUUUGACAGAAGUGCUUCACGUCCAAGUCAAGCCGCUGUACGGGUGUAUGGCUGUGUGCCCCGUUCUCGGAAGCGUCGACGGGUUUCCGGCGUGCGGAUUUCAGAGUUUGGACUCGACUUUUGGUGAGUAUGUCGAUCGACCUUGGGCCCGGGGACAGCACACCCGACAUGGCCAAAGUGCAGCCUAUCAGUUGAGUGUCCCCGAAUGGAUCAUCAACAUCGGAAAAUGAAGCAGAGCCAGGUAG
This is a long non-coding RNA of Dermacentor albipictus, 418 nucleotides long. RefSeq lists it as uncharacterized. NCBI's taxonomy places the organism in Eukaryota, Metazoa, Arthropoda, Arachnida, Ixodida, Ixodidae. The record is from RefSeq and is a predicted model, not a curated record.